AUGAGCAAGGUAUGCGUCACCGGAGCUGCAGGGUACAUCGCGUCCUGGCUCGUCAAGAAGCUCCUCGAGAGAGGCUGCACCGUCCACGGGACCCUGCGGAACCUCGGGGAUGAGAAGAAGACGGAGGUAAUGAGGGGGCUCCCCGGCGCGGCGGAGCGGCUGGUGCUGUUCGAGGCGGACAUCUACGACGCCGCCUCCUUCGAGCCGGCCAUCCAGGGCUGCGAGUUCGUCUUCCUCGUCGCCACCCCGCUGCAGCACAACUCCGGCAGCUCCAAGUACAAGGAUACCACCGACGCGAUCGAGGACGCGACGCGUGCCAUCCUACAACAGUGCGAGCGAUCCAAGUCAGUGAGACGUGUCAUCAGCACGGGGUCCGUUAUCACGGCGUCGCCGCUCCGCGAGGACGGGAAAGGGUACAAAGAGUUUGCCAAUGAGUCUUGCUGGACCCCGCUCGGCCUGCCCAUUGAUCACAGCAACGAAUUCAUGGACGAUUACCUUUCCUCUAAGUGCAUUGCUGAGAAGGAGCUAGUCAAGUACAACGACAGCCCCUCGGAGAGCAGAGCGUUCGACGUCGUCGUCCUGUUACUGGGCCUCGUAGGAGGAGACACCCUCCUGCCGUACAUCAACGAGAGCCAGCACUUCAUGCUGUCGCCUUUCACCGGCAUCGAGCCUUACCACAACGCCCUCAGGUACACGCAGGCCCUCCUGGGCUCCGUGCCGGUGGUGCAUGUCGACGACGUCUGCGAGGCGCACGUCUUCUGCAUGGAGCGCCACCGCGACGUCGCCGUCGGCCGGUACCUCUGCGCCACCGCGCACCCCAACAUGCAGGAUCUGGUGGAGCACUACGCGAGCAACCACCCAGAGCUCAAACUAGCGCGGAAAGAGGUGGUGGGAGAGGGAGUCCGAGUGCAGGCCAACACGAACAAGCUUGUGGAGCUGGGGUUCAAGUUUAAGUACCGGGCAGAGGAGGUGCUUGAUGGCAGUGUGGAUUGCGGGAAAAAGUUAGGAGUGCUGUCAGUGGCGGAUCAAGGAUCCUAA
Molecule: ribosomal RNA, 1038 nt
Filed under: Triticum aestivum (bread wheat)
Lineage: Eukaryota; Viridiplantae; Streptophyta; Magnoliopsida; Poales; Poaceae
Description: partial small subunit ribosomal RNA
Source: RNAcentral